GGUCCCGUAGCUCAGUUGGUUAGUAGCAUCGGUCUUAUGAGCCGAAGGUCGCGGGUUCGAGCCCCGCUGGGACCA
Molecule: non-coding RNA, 75 nt
Organism: Musa acuminata subsp. malaccensis (wild Malaysian banana)
Lineage: Eukaryota; Viridiplantae; Streptophyta; Magnoliopsida; Zingiberales; Musaceae
Source: Rfam